This 595-nucleotide long non-coding RNA is filed under the name Homo sapiens (human). RNAcentral describes it as "HSALNT0331979". The record is from RNAcentral. Lineage: Eukaryota; Metazoa; Chordata; Mammalia; Primates; Hominidae.
GGUAAUCUGCUGUGGUCUUUUUCCACGGUUUGGAAGCUUUAUUUUUUUGCUCUUUGCAAUAAAUAUUGUUGCUGCUAAUUCUUUGAGUCCACACUGCUUUUGUGAGUUGUAGCACUCACCCGAAGGUUUGCAGCUUCACUCCUGAAGCCAGUGAGACCACGAACCCAACGAGAGGAACGAAGAAUUCCAGACGCGCUGCAUUAAGAGCUGUAACACUCACUGCGAAGGUCUGCAGCUUCACUUUUGAAGCCAGCAAGACCACGAACCCAUCAGAAGGAAGAAACUCCAAACACAUCCGAGCAGCAGAAGGAACAAACUCCGGACACGCUGCCUUUAAGAACUGUGACACUCAGAGCGAGGGUCUGCGGCAUCACAUUUGAAGUCAGUGAGACCAAGAACCCACCGAUUCCGGACGCGAGCAGGUUGCUUCAGGGUAUAGACAUUUGGCACAGUACUGCAGCAUAAACCCAUCAAGAUGGAAGUGCCUGGAGCCUGCAGACAGGGUCUCUCCACCCCAGCUGCUGGUCCAACCUGCCUCGCAGGGCGUGACAUGGCUGUUGUCCUCACUGCCUUGUACUCUGCCUCACCAGUCCCA